CCUACGGAUGGCAGCAGUGGGGGAUAUUGCACAAUGGGGGGAACCCUGAUGCAGCGACGCCGCGUGGGUGAAGGAGUACUUCGGCAUGUAAAGCCCUAUCGGCAGGGAAGAAGAAAGACGAUACCUGACUAAGAAGACCCGGCUAACUACGUGACAGCAGCCGCGGUAAUACGUAGGGGGCGAGCGUUAUCCGGAUGCACUGGGUGUAAAGGGAGCGUAGACGGCCAUGCAUGCCAGGGGUGAAAGCCCGGGGCCCAACACCGGGACUGCCCUUGGAACUGCAUGGCUGGAGUGCGGGAGGGGCAGGCUGAAGUCGUGGUGUAGCGGUGAAAUGCGUAGAUAUCAGGAGGAACACCGGCGGCGAAGGCGGCCUGCUGGACCGCGACUGACGUUGAGGCUCGAAAGCGUGGGGAGCGAACAGGAUUAGAUACCCGAGUAGUC
This 441-nucleotide ribosomal RNA is filed under the name uncultured bacterium. RNAcentral describes it as "partial 16S ribosomal RNA". It matches the Rfam family "Bacterial small subunit ribosomal RNA", at positions 338 to 795 of the family's 1533-position model. The record is from RNAcentral.